This 541-nucleotide long non-coding RNA is filed under the name Salmo salar (Atlantic salmon). Its description in RNAcentral is "lncRNA (ENSSSAG00000103046.1)". The record is from RNAcentral. Lineage: Eukaryota; Metazoa; Chordata; Actinopteri; Salmoniformes; Salmonidae.
AUUUACAGUAUAUUUUCCAAACAUGAAUCAGCAGUUGGAAUCUGAGAGAGAGAUAGUCAGUCAGUCAGUCAGUGUGUGUGUGUGUGUGUGUGUGUGUGUGUGUGUGUGUGUGUGUGUGUGUGUGUGUGUGUGUGUGUGUGUGUGUGUGUGUGUGUGUGUGUGUGUGUGUGUGUGUGUGGUGUGGGGGGGCUGGAAUUGCUUGUGUUUGAGAGUGAGAGAGACAGAGAGUCAGUCAGUCGUAACUUGUGGAGGAGAAUGUGGGCUUUUGGCACCAGAGGGUAUUUGACAGGAGUUGACUGAUUUGGAAGCAAAUACAAGCAGAGCUGUAGGUUCUGGGCAGAGCUCUCCACUCCUGAAUACAAGCAGAGCUGUAGGUUCUGGGCAGAGCUGUAGGUUCUGGGCAGAGCUGUAGGUUCUGGGCUUUCCACUCCUGAAUACAAGCAGAGCUGUAGGUUCUGGGCAGAGCUGUAGGUUCUGGGCAGAGCUGUAGGUUCUGGGCUUUCCACUCCUAAGUAACAACUCCUUUCUGAGCAGCCUGCAG